Long non-coding RNA from Solanum lycopersicum (tomato), 5525 nucleotides. RefSeq lists it as uncharacterized. NCBI's taxonomy places the organism in Eukaryota, Viridiplantae, Streptophyta, Magnoliopsida, Solanales, Solanaceae. The record is from RefSeq and is a predicted model, not a curated record.
AUUCUCCAUUCCAUGGAUUCAUAAAUGGAUCCCAGAAGUAGGUUUUACUCCUGAAGAAAAAAUUCCUUGUUUAUACCAGAUUUAUUAUUAUAAUUUUUGGGACAAGCUAACAAGGCAAGACCCAAAGACCGGUCAACCCCAUGGUAAAGAGCUUGUAGAUCAGAUACAACCAAAAAUCCAGAAUUAUAAGGAGAUACCCCAAAGGAAGUUGUUAACUGAAAAUUCUAUCAAGCACAUUGCAAACAGAAUCUCCAUCCAAGAGGGUGAUAAAGACGAAAUGAUCAACGAGUAUCUCGAAGAGGUUAAAAUAAAUCUAUUGCAAAACCUCUCAGAAUUUGAUAAAUUGGAUACUUCAAUGAAGAGUGGCACUAGCAACGAUAUUGCAGAUGCACAGUCCGAUGAAUAAGAGCUAAUUAUGAUUGAAAGUGAGCUCGACAAGGUACAAGAUUUUUUGCUAUCCAUUAAGGACCAAGAAAGCCUGGCAAGGAUAAAGGCAAAAGGAAAAAUCUAGAUUCCUCCUUAUCCUUAAUAGUGAAAACACUGUCUAAAUAGUAGAUAUAGUGUGUAAGGGGCCCAGAUAAGAGACCCACUAUUAUUCUAUGUCUCUUAAAAUUGCCUAUAUAAGAAGCACUCCUCCUCAGAUGAGAGGGAGGAUCUCUUUAGGAAUUUUAUCUUUUCUUUCUUUCCUUAGUAACUCUCUCUCUCUCUCUCUCUCUCUCUCUCUUAUAAUAUAUUCCGGCAAAGAAAUAAAAGUCCACAUUUUUGGGAAACUCUCUUAGGUGCAAGCACAGGUGGUCGAUAGAGUUGCAUGAUCUUUGUUGCAGCUAUCCGGACGUCAGCAUUCAUCUGGAGUUUUGUAGAGAAUGAACCCUAGGAGGGUUAUUGGUUAGAGGAGGAGGGGGGCAGCUGCUAGGGGCAAUCGAGUUCUACCCAGGCCCCAACUGAAGGAGUGGCCAUGCCGAUUAACCCAGCUGGGUAGAACAAUGCUAAGGUAAGGGCAUCUUUGGAGGAUAUGGAAUAGUCCAUCGCGAUGCAGGCUCAGGCUAGGCUGCCCAAGUCAACCGGCAGGAUGUUCAGAGGGAGAACCCCCCGGUUUGGAGUAUGGUUGACAAACUAUAAGAUUUCACGAGGAUGAACCCUCCCAUAUUAACAGGGGCUAAGACAUCAAAGGACCGUCAAGAGUUUGUAGAUGAGGUGCAUAAGGUCCUGGUGGCUCUGGGGCCACUGAUAUUAAGAAGGCUGAGUUGACUUCCUAUCAGCUUAAGGAUGUUUCACAGACUUGGAGAAAUAUGUGGCAAGAUAACCGUAUCUUUGGUGGAGUGCCAGUCACAUAGGAGUUUUUCACGACAACAUUUCUUGAGAGACUCUUCCCCAGAGAGAUUAGAGAGGCCGAGGUUGAGGAGUUCAUCAACAUUAAGCAAGGCUCUAUGGCAGUCAGGGAGUAUUCCAUGAAAUUUGUUAAGCUAUCAAGGUUCCUCACAGAAAUCAAUGGAGAUUUGGAGGAGGAGUGUCGAUCUGUGAUGCUUCAUGAUAAUAUGCACCUUUCAAGGUUUAUGGUGCAUGUCCAGUAGGUAGAGGACAACCGCAAAAAGUGAGGUAUUCGUGAUGUUAGGAGGCCUAAGCCUCAAGAUUAGGUAGGUCCCAGUCAUGGAAGCCACAAAAAUAAUUUUGGCGUCCGUGAGCAGCAACGGUUCAAAAAGGGGCAACAGAGUUCUGGAAAUUCAAAUCCUCAGAGGGGUGCUACACAAAAAGGAGGCAGACCUGAGCCCAAGAAGGGCAAUGGAGGUGAGUUUAAGCGUCCUAAGAAGAAUUGUGCUAAGUGUGGUCGAGCUCAUAGUGGAGAAUGCAGACAAGGCACAAAUUCCCGCUUUGGUUGUGGUAAGAGUGGACACAUGGUCAGAGACUAUCCACAGAACAGAGGUUAGGUAAGAAGUAAUGCUCAGCCUAGGCCUAACCCACAAGGUGCAGCAACAGCCGAGCCUCCCAAGAGGAACAGAUUUUAUGCCUUGAAGGGAAGGGAGGAUCAGGAGAAGUCUGCUGAUAUUGUUACAGGUACUUAGAUAGCAUCAGUUGCAUGCCAAAUUCAGCAAGUGUUAAUUGUGGCAGAGAUCAGUGACCUUCCUGGGUCAUGUUGUGUCCGAUCAAGGUUUAGAGGUUGAGCCCAACAAGACUGAAGCUAUUAAGAAUUGGCGAAAGUCUUUUACUCCCACCGAUAUCCGUAACUUUCUGGGAUUGGAUGGUUGCUACCGCAGGUUUGUGGAGGGCUUUUCUUCCAUCGCUGCCCCACUUAUAGCUUAGACAAUGAAGAAAUCCAAGUUUGAAUCGACUUGAGACUUGUGAGAAGAGUUUCCAGGAGCUCAAGGACGAAACCACUUCAGCCCCGGUGCUUACUUUACCUAAGUGUGGUGAGAAUUACAUGAUUUAUUUUGAUGUAUCUAGGGUUGGUUUUGGUUGAAUUCUUAUGCAUGAUUGUAAGGUGAUAGACUAUUCUUCAAGACAACUCAAGGUUCAUGAAAAGAAUUAUCCCAUUCAUGACUUAGAGUUGGUAGAUGUGGUGUUUGCAUUGAAGUUGUGGAGGCAUUAUCUGUAUGGAGUGCAUGUUGAUGUCUUCACGGAUCAUAAAAGUCUCCAGCACGUGUUCAUACAAAAGGAGUUGAAUCUACGUCAGCGCAGGUGGUUGGAGAUGUUAAAGGAUUAUGACAUGAAUGUGCACUACCAUCCAGGUAAGUCUAAUGUUGUGGCUGAUGCUUUGAGAAGGAUGAGCAUGGGGAGUACAUCCCACAUUGAGGACGAGAAGAAGGAGUUGGCAAAAGAGGUAUACAGACUGGCCACACUGGGUGUGCGAUUGGUUGACUAUACUAGUGGGGGUGUUUCAAUUCAUCCUAGUUCUAAAUCAUCCUUGGUAGAUGAAGUCAAGAACGGUCAACAUCUUGAUCCUGUGUGGAUGGAGCUGAAAGACUCAGUGUUGUUAAAAAUGAAAUAGUCUUUCGCUUUGGGAGGUGAUGGAAUAAUUAGAUACCAGGACAGGCUGUGUGCACCGGAUAUGGAUGAUUUACGGACCAGGAUCGUGGCAGAGGCCUAUGGUUCCAGAUAUUCCAUACAUUCAGGUUCCAUCAAGAUGUAUCAUGAUCUUAAGAAAAUGUAUUGGUGGGAUGGCAUGAAAAAGGACAUUGCAGGAUAUGUGGCUAAGUGUCCUAUUUGUCAGCAAGUCAAGGCAGAGCAUCUUAAGGCUGGUGGUAUGAUUCAGAUUAUUGAGAUUCCAACGUGGAAAUGGGAGGCGAUUAAUAUGGACUUCGUGGUUGCUCUUCCGAGAACUAGGAGACAACAUGACUCCAUAUGGGUUACUGUGGACAGAUUGACUAAGUCUGCUCACUUUAUCUUUGUGAAGUCUACCUACAGAGCCGAGGAUUAUGCAAUACUUUAUAUCAAUGAGAUUGUGAGAUGGCAUGUGAUUCCCUUGUCUAUUAUUUUAGAUAGAGGAUCUUAGUUUACUUCUCAUUUAUGGAAAUCUUUCCAGAAGAGCUUGGGCACGCAGGUAAUGCAUAGUACUGCAUUUCAUCCUCAGACAGAUUGGCAGGCAGAGCGCACCAUUGAGACAUUAGAGGACAUGUUGAGAGUGUGUGUGAUCGACUUCAGAGGUAACUGGGAUGAACAUAUGCCUUUGAUAGAGUUUUCGUAUAAUAAUAGCUACCACCCUAGCAUAGGGAUGGAACCAUUUGAGGCACUGUAUGGUAGGAGGUGCAGAUCUCCAGUUGGGUGGUUCGAGGUUGGACAUUUAUCCAUUUUGGGUCAAGAGAUCAAUCAAUUAGGCCUUAGAGAUGGUCAGAGUGAUUAGGGGAAGAUUUACUACUACUUACAGUCAGCUGAAGUCAUAUGCUGAUAACAAAAAAUGACCCUUAGAGUGUGAUGUCGGUGACCAGAUUUACUUGAAAAUAUCGCAUAUGAAAGGGGUGAUGCGAUUUUUUAGAAAAGGGAAGUUAAGUCCGAGAUAUGUUGGGCCAUAUGAGAUUAUACAGCGUGUGGGUGAGGUAGCCUAUGAGUUUGCAUUGCCUGGGGAGCUAGCUUCUUUUCAUCCAUUCUUUCAUGUCUAUGUUAAAAAAGUUCCUAGGUGAUCCAGCAUCAAUCUUACCUGUUAAAGUUUUGGGUUUGGUGAAGACUUGUCUUAUGAGGAGGUACCUGUUAAGAUCUUAGACAGACAGGUGAAGAGGCUUAGGAGAGAAAUCAUCUUGUUGAGGGGGCUACGUGGGAGGCUGAGGCCGACAUGACAUCCCGCUACCCUUAUCUUUUUAGCUCUUGAGGUUACACUUCCUCCUCUUAAGCUUCUGUUUCCUUAUCAAUCCAUAUUUUGUUGCUAUUGAUUGACUGUGUAUGCUGAUUUUAUUAUAACCCGACUAGCAUAACGAUGUGAGGUGGUAGUGUUAUUUGGGGACGAAUGUUCCUAAGGGGGGGAUAAUGUAACAACACUAAAAAUGAAUAGGGUCAAGACUUAGGGUGUCAAGAAUGAUUUCCAUUAAACCAAGGUUCACACCACUUGAUACGCGUAGAACCAGACCUUGAAACCCUUACUACGAUCAAGUCAACUAACUUGGGGAGUUAGUUGGGCUUGGAAAGGUUGGAAUCAACCAAGUAAGGCUCGCGAAAACGAAGAUUUAAUCGAAGGAGUCUAUACCAGACUUAAAAGAAAAAAAUUUAUGUUUUAAGGGUCCAAGGAUAAAAUGGUCAUUUCCAGGCCAAGGGUAAUAUUGUAUUUAACUUGAAGAAUUAAUAACUUAAUUAAAUAAUUUAAUUAAAAGAGCUUUUCAAAUUUAGGGCAACUCAGAGUGACCUAUUUCGCAAAUGGGUUGCCACUCGGGUUCGAGCCCCACUAGGAGCAAGGAAUCGAUGAUUAAUCAUCAAUUAAAAUCUAUUCAUUAAGGGUAAAAUGGUCCUUUCACAUAUUAAUUAAAAUAAGUCAGAUUUUUAUUAAGUUAAUUAAAUCUUAUUUUGACUAAGUCUUGAAUUUAGUCUCCUAAUCUUAAUAAUUCUCUCCCUCACGUUUCUCAACUCUCUCUGACAUUCUCAAUCUCUCUCUCUCAUGUUAUUCUGCAAAACACAACAAAAUCCAGAAAAUACAUCAAGAGUUCUUCACAAUUGAAGAACUCACAAGAAUUUUUAAGGAAAAUACAAAAUAAUCAAAACGUCAAGGCUAUAGGUUUGGAGGUUCGUCGAGUGGGGUGUACGUUGAAGUGAGUUGGGCGUGGUUUGGAGGAGUUUCCUGGAAGCAGCUUCACACUUGAACAACAUUAAAAGGUGUAGGCACAGGUGGUCGAUAGAGUUGCAGGAGCAUUGUUGCAUCUAUCUGGACGUCAGCAUUUAUCCAGAGUUUGGUAGGUCCGCAUGCUUUUGAAGAUGCUAUUGUUUUAUAUUCUAGAAUAGUUUUAGAGUUGAGUUUGUGGAGCAUGUUCUAAUAGCGUUUCUUUGUUGUUUUGAUACAGACUUUGUAUUGGGCCAUUUUGGCAAUUAUAUAAUUAAGACUCAAUGAACUA